Long non-coding RNA from Acyrthosiphon pisum (pea aphid), 603 nucleotides. RefSeq lists it as uncharacterized. Lineage: Eukaryota; Metazoa; Arthropoda; Insecta; Hemiptera; Aphididae. The transcript is spliced from 2 exons. The record is from RefSeq and is a predicted model, not a curated record.
UUUUUCAUAAUAAUUGUGAACUUUUUAUCUACUUAUUAAUUCUGAGUCUAAAUAAAAACAACAAGUUUAAAGUACAAUAAUAUUCAUAUCCGUCGGAUCAAACAAUCUAAUAUCAGUAAAUUUAUCGAGUAGUGGCGAACGAUAUUCGUUCAAUGACGUUAUUCAUAUUUCUAAUAAUUACUGUACGUCGCACAUAAAUAUAGAUUUAUUUUACAAAGAGCUCUAGUGUUUGUCGAUCUAUCAUUCUAACCUUUCAUUACUUGUGCGAAACUGUACAAGAAACUUACAUUCACAGUUUUUAAUAGUCAAUAAACAUUCAAUAAUAAUUAAUUUAAAUACAUACUAAUUUUAUAUCAAGUCAAAAAAAAAAACAGUUUAAUUCUUAUUCAAUUUGUGUUUGUGACAAUUCAUUUUACAACUAAUCAAUUUACAGAUAAUAUGUGUUGUAACGAUCAAAAUCAAACCGUCGAUAAUCACAUUCACAGUUUACGUUUAUUAAAGUUAUAUAAAUUAUUUCUUCACGUUUCAAUAAAUUAUUCACAGAAAUCAUACAGAAGAUCACGCUGCCAUACAAUAUGAUUCCAAACAUAAAGUUAAUAUGUA